This 449-nucleotide ribosomal RNA is filed under the name uncultured soil bacterium. RNAcentral describes it as "bacterial SSU rRNA". It matches the Rfam family "Bacterial small subunit ribosomal RNA", at positions 26 to 487 of the family's 1533-position model. The record is from RNAcentral.
AGAAUGAACGUUGGCGGCGUGGAUUAGGCAUGCAAGUCGUGCGCGAACUGUAGCAAUACAGGGAGAGCGGCGUAAGGGAGAGUAAUACAUAGUUAGCUGCCCUCGAGUCUGGGAUAGCGGCGGGAAACUGCCGGUAAUACCAGAUGAUAUCUUCGGAUCAAAGGUGUGAUUCCGCUCGAGGAGGUGACUGUGUCCUAUCAGCUAGUUGGCGGGUAAUGGCCCACAAGGCAAAGACGGUAUGGGGCGUGAGAGCGUCGCCCCCAUCACUGGGACUGAGAUACUGCCCAGACCACCGUACGGGUGGCUGCAGUCGAAGAAUCUUCGGCAAGUGGGCGCAAGCCUGACCGAGCCGACGCCGCGUGCGGAUGAAGGCCUUAGGGUUGUAAACCGCGUGUACGGUAGGGAGGUAAGGUUCCGUAGAAGAACGGAGCGUUAGACCGAGUCCGUAA